RNAcentral lists this transfer RNA (83 nucleotides) under Muribaculaceae bacterium Isolate-105 (HZI). RNAcentral describes it as "tRNA-Leu". It matches the Rfam family "tRNA". From Rfam's summary of the family: Transfer RNA (tRNA) molecules are approximately 80 nucleotides in length. Their secondary structure includes four short double-helical elements and three loops (D, anti-codon, and T loops). The record is from RNAcentral. Lineage: Bacteria; Pseudomonadati; Bacteroidota; Bacteroidia; Bacteroidales; Muribaculaceae.
GUCCGGAUGGCGGAAUGGUAGACGCGCUACUUUGAGGGGGUAGUGAUCAUUGGAUCGUGUGAGUUCGAGUCUCAUUUCGGACA